GAAUCUGCCAGAAGGCUCUGCGGUUAGAAAGUAUUUUAUUUGAAGGGUGAAUAGAAACAAGAAGUUAACGCAAUGACCAAGCCUGCAUGAACAUCCCUUCGAUAGCUCAGCUGGUAGAGCGGAGGACUGUAG
RNAcentral lists this transfer RNA (132 nucleotides) under Xenopus laevis (African clawed frog). RNAcentral's name for it is "tRNA-Tyr". Lineage: Eukaryota; Metazoa; Chordata; Amphibia; Anura; Pipidae. The record is from RNAcentral.